CUGGGGAGGACCUGCCCAGGCCAGCCUGACAUAAAAGGGCAGCUCUAGUCUGGCUUGGACUGAUCAGGGCUCAUCCGGGCACAGCUGACCAUGAGGUUCCCUGCUCAGCUCCUGGGGCUCCUCCUGCUCUGGGUCCCAGGAUCCAGUGGGGCCAUCGUGCUGACCCAGACUCCACUCUCCCUGUCAGUCAGCCCUGGAGAGCCGGCCUCCAUCUCCUGCAGGUCCAGUCAGAGCCUUGAGGAAUAUGGAAGCAAUUUGUUGAGUUGGUACCAGCAGAAACCAGGCCAGUCUCCACAGCUCCUGAUCUAUGAGGCUACCAACAGGGCCUCUGGGGUCCCAGACAGGUUCAGCGGCAGUGGGUCAGGCACAGAUUUCACCCUGAAAAUCAGCAGGGUGGAGGCUGAGGAUGCAGGCGUUUAUUACUGCCAGCAAUUUAAAGAAUUUCCUCCCACAGUGAUACAGCCCUUGACACAAACCCCUCUCCUGGGGGCCCAGCUGCACACAUGGGUGUGUGUUGUCUGGGGGAGCAGAGGGGCAGAUGCUCUGAGUCUGUGUAAGAGGAAGAAGUGGGAGAACCAGGGGCAGAGGGUGCAGCUGAGGCCUGUGGACCAGCAGAGCCUCAGCUCCUCCUCGGACACCACAUGUUCAGACCUGUCAGCUCCCUGGCUUUGGUGAGAUGCCCCCUUAGAAACUGGCCAGUGAUAGGAGCUGGCCUGCAGGUCACCCAAAGCUUAGCUGAAGUCCAUUUGUUCAGCCUUUGUUUUCUGCCUGGGCCAAUCAGAACUUUUAUCCUGGUGUGUAUUGAUAACCAUAGAGGAGAGCAUAACAUCAGGUUAGAAACAAUGGCACUACUAGAAAAGGAUCUUUUUAGCUGCAAUUUCAGCCUGUGUGAUUCUAUUUUCCAAUGUAAUCUCAUGGCUCUCUCAUGCAAUGAAAAUAUCACAUCUCUUUCACCCUUCUAUUUCUUGUGGAUUUUUCAAUGUUGAUUUUCCAAACCCUCUGACAUUCUCCCUUGCUCUGGAUUUUCUUGUCUUUUUGCAACUUAAAUAAUUUUGUGGAGAUUACAAGCUUGAUGGCAUAUUGUCAUAAAAAGGAAAAAAUGUCAAACAUAAAUAAAGUGACUCAUUUCGU
Sus scrofa (pig) is the source of this 1131-nucleotide non-coding RNA. Lineage: Eukaryota; Metazoa; Chordata; Mammalia; Artiodactyla; Suidae. The record is from the annotation of a RefSeq genome assembly.